CCUUCGGGGACACCGGCGGACGGCUCAGUAACACGUCGGUAACCUACCCUCGGGAGGGGGAUAACCCCGGGAAACUGGGGCUAAUCCCCCAUAGGCCUGGGGUACUGGAAGGUCCUCAGGCCGAAAGGGGCUCUGCCCGCCCGAGGAUGGGCCGGCGGCCGAUUAGGUAGUUGGUGGGGUAACGGCCCACCAAGCCGAAGAUCGGUACGGGCCAUGAGAGUGGGAGCCCGGAGAUGGACACUGAGACACGGGUCCAGGCCCUACGGGGCGCAGCAGGCGCGAAACCUCCGCAAUGCGGGCAACCGCGACGGGGGGACCCCCAGUGCCGUGGCAAAGCCACGGCUUUUCCGGAGUGUAAAAAGCUCCGGGAAUAAGGGCUGGGCAAGGCCGGUGGCAGCCGCCGCGGUAAUACCGGCGGCCCAAGUGGUGGCCGCUAUUAUUGGGCCUAAAGCGUCC
RNAcentral lists this ribosomal RNA (456 nucleotides) under Thermococcus sp. MZ3. RNAcentral's name for it is "bacterial SSU rRNA". It matches the Rfam family "Archaeal small subunit ribosomal RNA", at positions 67 to 520 of the family's 1478-position model. Lineage: Archaea; Methanobacteriati; Methanobacteriota; Thermococci; Thermococcales; Thermococcaceae. The record is from RNAcentral.